UGAUAUGUAUACAAUGCAUAGUAUAGUUACCAACAUAACAUCACAUCUCACCUACAAAAGUACACACUCUCUACUUAAUUAUUUGUUGCAUAUUCUACAUAGCAAACCUGCAUAUUUGGUACAGUGUGGGAAUUAACAUAUGAAAAACUGAAGUAUGCCACUAAAGCAGAAACUUGUGUGUAUCCUCUUACAAAAGGUGCACAAUAAUACAAAGGGAUUGAACCGCAGUUGACACAAUCAAGAUCAACAUCAUUGAGCGUACGCGUAAGGAAAGAAACGCUUGGUACCACAUGGGUGACAUUGUCUAGCCUGUUGGAGGCGGAUCCACGUUAGUGGCCUUAUGCGGUGACAUAACAGAGCGUGUCUAGCCUUCUGCGAUACAAGAGGCAUCAGCAACUCUGAUCCCCAGUGAUGCAACCUACAAAAUAUAAGAAUAAGUUGGCAUUUCCAAACUAUACCAACACUAUAGUAUUGUCCC
This 478-nucleotide long non-coding RNA is filed under the name Brassica napus (rape). RNAcentral describes it as "long non-coding RNA (BNAP_LNC006245)". The record is from RNAcentral. Lineage: Eukaryota; Viridiplantae; Streptophyta; Magnoliopsida; Brassicales; Brassicaceae.